This is a non-coding RNA of Cyanistes caeruleus (blue tit), 1625 nucleotides long. NCBI's taxonomy places the organism in Eukaryota, Metazoa, Chordata, Aves, Passeriformes, Paridae. The record is from RefSeq and is a predicted model, not a curated record.
AUAGAAACCCACAUAUAUCAAAAUCUAGAAAACUUCAGCGUUAGAAACCUACAAAUAUUACAUUUAUUUAAAUUUUAUAUGCAACAACCUUUUGUUGCACCUGUGAGAACUCAGGUUUUUUUCCAGUGAAAUGAAAACUUAAAUUCCCACUGACAACUGCCACAUGGACAUACUUGGAUUUUUGUAUCAUCUGCCCUGAUAUAAUUUGGUAGAUUUAAUAUGCUCAUAGAAAAUGAACUUGAAAGUAGAACCAAAGGUCAGGUGUAGUUUGUAGUUUUUUUACUGUCUUAUCUUAGUUCAUUUAUGUUUCCACCAAGAAACAUGUUUCAAUCAAACUUUUUUUCAUUUUUUCCUGGGAAGGUUCCUUAGCAAAGGAGGAUGUCAUUAAAUCAGGGCAUGAAAGACACAAGUUCUAAGAGUGAACCUAAGUGGUGAAAUCUACAGGUAUUUUUAAAAAUGGGAUUCUCAAGGGAAAACUAAUCAGCAAUGUUUCUGUUUUCUGGUUGUUCUCCUUGCUAUGAAAGGCAUGAGAAUACCUUGCUGUGUUCUGAAUUCUUGUCCUGCUUACUUUUAUGAGAAUAAUCUGAGAAGUGUCAGUGGUUAUCUUCCAGGGUAAUAUGUACUUUCAGGGAACAUCAGAACUGGUUGCCAGCAUUUGGUCCCCUGACUAUUGACUUUACUUACCCUGCAAGCCUACUCUGAACUCCUGCAGUGUUAAUGCAGUAAGUUAGUAAAUUGUGCAGCUUGGCUGGCCCUAUAUAAAAGGACUCUCUACAUAGAAUGAAUCUGGUUAGAAAAAGUGAUAGGCUAUCAAAAAAAAAUGUAAGUGAUUUUGGCUCCCUUGGGUUUUGAAUAAUACCCAAACCAAGAACUCUAAGUGACCCCUGAAGUCUGACACCAGUUUGGCCCUCCUGUCGUGGGGAGCCUCACUCACUGCUGCCUCAGGUGUGUGCACUGGUGUGAGCUGUCUCCCUCGCCACUCCCUCAGCUGUGGGAACUGCAGAGAAGUGGGAAGAAAUGUUUGUGUGGAUUUGACAUCCCUGUAACCCAGGUAAUGGUAAGUAACCUUUGUUUUUUUAAAUCUUAAAACUCUAACCUGUUGUUUAUGUGGAGGAACUAAUGGAGUGUUCUCCAUGACCACGUAACAUGGGGCCUGGUAAUAUUAAAACUAAGGUGUCUGCACAGCCCUUGGAAUUUGUACCUCAUUGCACUGCUCUGUGGCUUUUCUGAACAGCAGUGUGGAUAGAGACUCUCCAGCAAAGCAGUGGUCUGUGGUGGCUGGUGGGUCUGAACUGGCUGGUGAAAAGUGCAUGUUCCUUCAGUCAACGGGUCAAUGAAGGUGACACGCAUCCAAGGCUGUAAGGAGGAGUUGGAGCUGCUGAAACACCAAGAUGAAAAGCAGAAACUGUGGAAGAAAGUAGAACCAGAUGAAAGUAGAAGCCUUCUGGAAGAUUCCUUGAGAAAUGAAGUCCUACAUGCCUUGAAGAUGCCAAGGAACCUCUAGAGAUGCAGCUAAUCAACCUGGCAAUGGAGAGGAAAGCUGUCUGUCCUGCUGUCUGGGAGAGAAGGUAAGAUGGUGUGGGGUGUUGCUGCGGAAAACAAUUCUGUAACUGUUGCAGAGUGGG